UAGGGAAUCUUCCACAAUGGACGCAAGUCUGAUGGAGCAACGCCGCGUGAGUGAAGAAGGUUUUCGGAUCGUAAAGCUCUGUUGUUGGUGAAGAAGGAUAGAGGUAGUAACUGGCCUUUAUUUGACGGUAAUCAACCAGAAAGUCACGGCUAACUACGUGCCAGCAGCCGCGGUAAUACGUAGGUGGCAAGCGUUGUCCGGAUUUAUUGGGCGUAAAGCGAGCGCAGGCGGAAAAAUAAGUCUGAAGUUAAAGGCAGUGGCUUAACCAUUGUUCGCUUUGGAAACUGUUAAACUUGAGUGCAGAAGGGGAGAGUGGAAUUCCAUGUGUAGCGGUGAAAUGCGUAGAUAUAUGGAGGAACACCGGUGGCGAAAGCGGCUCUCUGGUCUGCAACUGACGCUGAGGCUCGAAAGCAUGGGUAGCGAACAGG
Molecule: ribosomal RNA, 428 nt
Filed under: Lactobacillus sp.
Lineage: Bacteria; Bacillati; Bacillota; Bacilli; Lactobacillales; Lactobacillaceae
Description: bacterial SSU rRNA
Rfam family: Bacterial small subunit ribosomal RNA
Source: RNAcentral